Long non-coding RNA from Carcharodon carcharias (great white shark), 1410 nucleotides. RefSeq lists it as uncharacterized. NCBI's taxonomy places the organism in Eukaryota, Metazoa, Chordata, Chondrichthyes, Lamniformes, Lamnidae. The record is from RefSeq and is a predicted model, not a curated record. The transcript has 4 exons.
CUGAGUGGAGCUGAGCUUCUUCUCUCCAUUCCACCUGGAGACACCUGAUCUUGUUACAUUUCUGAGUUCUGCAUCUCCCCUGCCCAGCACUAUAUUCAUCUGCAUGAGAAACUCGAAGGAAGAAGCCAGAAAAGCAUAAGAAAACUGCAUAGCCCGGGCUUGAGCACCAACUAACCCAGGAUUGCACCUCAGAACACUUUUUGCCUCUCUCAUGUAACAGCUGUCUCAUCUGGAUCAGUAAAUCAAGUAUUGUUGUCCUUUAAUUCCUGAUGCCUGUGUAGCCCUGGAUCUCCUCAAAAUGGCAAAAGAUUUGAAGACAACCACCAUCGUUAAUCAUACAGAACUGCAAGUUCCCAAGUACUCAAACAAAAAAGGGUAUCCUGACUGGGUCUUCAGCUCUGAACCAUCUUCUCUCUUUGCGGAAUAGGUUUGUCCAUUCUCAUUACAGGUGCCAGAAAACCUUCAAUGGUCAGACCAGCCAACCACCCAGGGGGAAACCAUAAUGCCUCCACUGGAGUAUGUAAAAGAGAGUGACCAGCAGUCCGAUGAGCUUCAACCUCUGGCCCUGACGACGGCACUGCAGGUCAACACUUCAACCAUCAAACAUAUGCUGCAACCGCCAGCCAGUAUGCCAAAGCCACAAAAGAUGCUGGAACCUGGUAGCAGCUGUCCAUUGCUGACGACAAAAUGCUGAAUUGAGCAUACCACAAAACCUCAUUCUGGUCACUGGAAUGCUCAUCCUCUGCCACAGAGGACAUCACGAUGACCCACACGAUGGUGGAAGAAAUUAAAGAAAUGACAAGGAGAUGAAUACAAUGUUCUUCUACCCCACAAGAAACGAGUUAGGGUAGCAACCACUGAACCGACCAAGCCCAGUUCAACAUGAAGGAAUGGAAGAAAGGGAUGAAAACAUACAUCAGAACAACCUCCAAACCUACAGAAGGAACCAGCAGCCAUAGAACCAACCCUCCUCUGACAGAAGUGCAAACAAGAUAUGGAAGGGAUAUAUAAGGCCUCCAGACUGCUUUAACCUUUGAAUUCAAGACUUCAAGGGGGGAAAUGAGAUAAUGAUAAUAGUAAUGACAAUGUAAAUUUAGGAUUGCAAUAACAAUGUACAACAGAAGGUAAGCUAUAAUCACUUAAAUACAUUGGCUAAAGACUUGGAGGGAAGUGUAGUAAAGAAGUCUGACACAUAUAGAGUUAAUGUGGGACUGUGUACAGUACCGCCCACACAGUGAGGAGGGAGAGCAUAUGACCUGCAUCCAGGUUCAGUUGAGUGUUGGCCAGAGCUGUAUGUACCAGCAAGCAUGGAGACAGCUCCUAGCUUGUAUCCUUCACUGUAUAUUUGUAAGUCAUUCCACAAGUCAAUAAAGACUUAGGAUUAAUACAAUGUUAACUGUAUUCCUCUCU